CGCGAACGUUGGCGGCGUGCCUAACACAUGCAAGUCGUGGGGCAGCAGGCUACUGUCUUUUGGCAGUAGUGCUGGCGACCGGCAAACGGGUGAGUAACACGUAGCUUACCUACCCAUGGGUUGGGGAUAACAUCCCGAAAGGGGUGCUAAUACCCAAUAAUGAGGAGACUCCAAAGCCCUUAUGGGCGCCUAUGGAUGGGGCUGCGUCCCAUCAGCUAGUUGGUGAGGUAAUGGCUCACCAAGGCUACGACGGGUAACCGGUCUGAGAGGAUGACCGGUCACAGUGGGACUGAGACACGGCCCGCACCCCUACGGGGGGCAGCAGUGGGGAAUAUUGGGCAAUGGCCGAAAGGCUGACCCAGCAACGCCGCGUGGUGGAUGAAGCCCUUCGGGGUGUAAACACCUUUUCUGGGGGAAGAUAAUGACGGUACCCCAGGAAUAAGGGACGGCUAACUACGUGCCAGCAGCCGCGGUAAUACGUAG
RNAcentral lists this ribosomal RNA (483 nucleotides) under uncultured Sulfurihydrogenibium sp. RNAcentral describes it as "bacterial SSU rRNA". It matches the Rfam family "Bacterial small subunit ribosomal RNA", at positions 29 to 530 of the family's 1533-position model. The record is from RNAcentral. Lineage: Bacteria; Pseudomonadati; Aquificota; Aquificia; Aquificales; Hydrogenothermaceae.